AACAAAUUUUGAUCCGCAGAUUUCCGAAUGGGGAAACCCAACUAGCUUAGCUAGUUAUUGCAUAUUAGUUCAAUAUGUAAGGCAAACUUGGUGAACUGAAAUAUCUAAGUAACCAAAGGAAAAGAAAUCAACCGAGAUUCUGUUAGUAGUGACGAGCGAAAGCGGAAAAGGCUAGUGAUUUAAGAAUAAGAAUUAGAAUACUCUGGAAAGUGUAACCAUAGAAGGUGAUAGUCCUGUAUAGGUAGAAAGUUUUUAAAUCCUUGAGUAGGGCGGGGCACGUGAAACCCUGUUUGAAUGUGGGGGGACCAUCCUCUAAGCCUAAAUACUCCUUGACGACCGAUAGUGAACAAGUACCGUGAGGGAAAGGUGAAAAGAACCCCGGGAGGGGAGUGAAAUAGAAUCUGAAAUCGAGUGCUUACAAACAGUUGGAGCUCUAUGUUUUUGCUGCAAGAGUAAUCUUGUAGCUGUUUACAUUAGAG
Molecule: ribosomal RNA, 479 nt
Filed under: uncultured Wolbachia sp.
Lineage: Bacteria; Pseudomonadati; Pseudomonadota; Alphaproteobacteria; Rickettsiales; Anaplasmataceae
Description: partial 23S ribosomal RNA
Rfam family: Bacterial large subunit ribosomal RNA
Source: RNAcentral